RNAcentral lists this ribosomal RNA (497 nucleotides) under uncultured bacterium. Its description in RNAcentral is "partial 16S ribosomal RNA". It matches the Rfam family "Bacterial small subunit ribosomal RNA", at positions 28 to 507 of the family's 1533-position model. The record is from RNAcentral.
GACGAACGCUGGCGGCGUGCCUAAUACAUGCAAGUUGAGCGCUGAAGGUUGGUACUUGUACCAACUGGAUGAGCAGCGAACGGGUGAGUAACGCGUGGGGAAUCUGCCUUUGAGCGGGGGACAACAUUUGGAAACGAAUGCUAAUACCGCAUAAAAACUUUAAACACAAGUUUUAAGUUUGAAAGAUGCAAUUGCAUCACUCAAAGAUGAUCCCGCGUUGUAUUAGCUAGUUGGUGAGGUAAAGGCUCACCAAGGCGAUGAUACAUAGCCGACCUGAGAGGGUGAUAGGCCACAUUGGGACGGAGACACGGCCCAAACUCCUACGGGAGGCAGCAGUAGGGAAUCGUCGGCAAUGGACGAAAGUCUGACCGAGCAACGCCGCGUGAGUGAAGAAGGUUUUCGGAUCGUAAAACUCGGUUUGUAGAGAAGAACGGUGGUGAGAGGGGAAAGCGCAUCAAGUGACGGUAACUACCCAGAAAGGGACGGCUAACUACGUG